AUUGAACGCUGGCGGAAUGCUUUACACAUGCAAGUCGAGCGGCAGCACGGACUUCGGUCUGGUGGCGAGUGGCGAACGGGUGAGUAAUAUAUCGGAACGUGCCCAGUCGUGGGGGAUAACGUAGUGAAAAUUACGCUAAUACCGCAUACGAUCUAUGGAUGAAAGCGGGGGAUCGCAAGACCUCGCGCGAUUGGAGCGGCCGAUAUCAGAUUAGGUAGUUGGUGAGGUAAAGGCUCACCAAGCCAACGAACUAUAGCUGGUCUGAGAGGACGACCAGCCACACUGGAACUGAGACACGGUCCAGACUCCUACGGGAGUCAGCAGUGGGGAAUUUUGGACAAUGGACGCAAGUCUGAUCCAGCCAUUCCGCGUGCAGGACGAAGGCCUUCGGGUUGUAAACUGCUUUUGUACAGAACGAAAAGGUUUCUAUUAAUACUAGGGGCUCAUGACGGUACUGUAAGAAUAAGCACCGGCUAACUACGUGCCAGCCGCCGCGGUAA
Molecule: ribosomal RNA, 500 nt
Filed under: uncultured bacterium
Lineage: Bacteria
Description: partial 16S ribosomal RNA
Rfam family: Bacterial small subunit ribosomal RNA
Source: RNAcentral